RNAcentral lists this small RNA (310 nucleotides) under Histoplasma ohiense. RNAcentral's name for it is "hypothetical lncRNA". The record is from RNAcentral. Lineage: Eukaryota; Fungi; Ascomycota; Eurotiomycetes; Onygenales; Ajellomycetaceae.
AUGGAUUGAGAGGAGAAACACCACCUGAAAGAUCACACUCGGUGCUGCAUGGCUAGUUGGCUUCGUGUGGGAGGUCCAAACCGCGGGAAAGAGGAAAAAUGUAGCCCUCUUGUCCUCACGAGAGAAGAGUGCAGCUAAUCAGAGUUGAAAUCCGAUGGAGAAACUAGUAGUUUGAAGCAACUACAUUUAUUUUUCCUCCAAUGACAAGAGAGAUAUAUGGUCGCUCUAAAAAAAAUCAUCAGGGACAAGGGUUGAUCGGGUACUUUGUAUCCCAAAAGCAUGGUUGAAGUGACAAUAAGUUUGUGUGAGA